UUUAUAUAGUUUAUCCCAAAACAUUACAUUUUCACUGUAAAAAUAUUUUAAUGAUUAUAAAUAU
Molecule: transfer RNA, 64 nt
Filed under: Coleoptera sp. ACP-2013
Lineage: Eukaryota; Metazoa; Arthropoda; Insecta; Coleoptera
Description: tRNA-Glu
Source: RNAcentral